Long non-coding RNA from Trachemys scripta elegans, 555 nucleotides. RefSeq lists it as uncharacterized. NCBI's taxonomy places the organism in Eukaryota, Metazoa, Chordata, Testudines, Emydidae. The transcript is spliced from 3 exons. The record is from RefSeq and is a predicted model, not a curated record.
CCCCCCUCCCCCAGCUCAGCUUGCACUGAACUUUUGCAAAACGGCUCGGGCGGGAGCUGUGUCUUUGCAGCAGGCUCCGCGAGUGCCCAGAUCCCCCGCCCCCCAGGAAAGCAACACGUUUGCAAAAGCUGAUCAGUUUCCCCUCUGAAGUUCUGAAAUGGAAGACUAGACUGAAUGGAAAUAUUAAACUCUUAAUUUCUUUCCUACAUAUUUCCAUUUGUCCUUCAUCACCUCCUCGUCCUUUUUACAAUUUCAAUGCAGAGAACCACAGUUUGCAAAAUUGGAAUUGGACAUGUACUGUCAUAUUGUUUGGGCCGGGGACAAAGACUCCAGCACAGGGAACUUUAAACUGAUCUCUAACUGGUCUCAUAACCAGUGAACACUUUAUUUCAACGUGCUUGCCUCAGAUGGACCUGCAAGAAUUGCAUGCCUCAGUACAUUGUUAAAAGAUAGAGGAAAAAUCCUUAGUCCUUACUCUGAUUAACUCCCAGUGACUAUAAUGAGUGGUUAGCCUAAGGGCCAAGUUUAAACCAAAUAAAGAUUCAGGAUUUGGAG